CGUGAGCACCACAUCCCGGCCUGGUUCCUGGACCAUCCUCCAUGUCUCACUUUUGAAUCAGAUAUCACCACCUGCUUCUCGGGAAGCCUGUCAGACAUCCAGACCUCUGCCCAGUGCAGAAAGGAUAUCUACCCCAGGACAGAGGCUCUGCUGGACAGCAGGAGUGAAGGAGGGUCACCCUUCCCAACUUCAGCUUCUAUAGCGAGAUGGGCUCUUCAUCUAAGCACCAGUUCAAAAAGCUGCAGGGAAGAAGUCUGACUGGCUCAGCUUGGAUUGAGGUCUGUCCCUGGAGUAGUCAGCUCUGGCCAGAGGAGGGACUUUCACAAUGACUGGCCCCCACAGGACCCCCAUGGAAAGAGAGGGGAAGGAGCAGUUUAUGAGAAGAAUGGAGCGGGGCAUCUCUCUGGAAGUUUAGAGG
This is a long non-coding RNA of Talpa occidentalis (Iberian mole), 418 nucleotides long. RefSeq lists it as uncharacterized. The transcript is spliced from 3 exons. The record is from RefSeq and is a predicted model, not a curated record. NCBI's taxonomy places the organism in Eukaryota, Metazoa, Chordata, Mammalia, Eulipotyphla, Talpidae.